RNAcentral lists this ribosomal RNA (429 nucleotides) under Gemmatimonadota bacterium. RNAcentral describes it as "Gemmatimonadetes bacterium partial 16S ribosomal RNA". It matches the Rfam family "Bacterial small subunit ribosomal RNA", at positions 355 to 776 of the family's 1533-position model. The record is from RNAcentral. Lineage: Bacteria; Pseudomonadati; Gemmatimonadota.
UAGGGAAUCUUCGGCAAUGGACGAAAGUCUGACCGAGCAACGCCGCGUGAGUGAAGAAGGUUUUCGGAUCGUAAAACUCUGUUGUUAGAGAAGAACAAGGACGUUAGUAACUGAACGUCCCCUGACGGUAUCUAACCAGAAAGCCACGGCUAACCACGUGCCAGCAGCCGCGGUAAUACGGAGGUGGCAAGCGUUGUCCGGAUUUAUUGGGCGUAAAGCGAGCGGAGGCGGUUUCUUAAGUCUGAUGUGAAAGCCCCCGGCUCAACCGGGGAGGGUCAUUGGAAACUGGGAAACUUGGGUGCAGAAGAGGAGAGUGGAAUUCCAUGUGUAGCGGUGAAAUGCGUAGAUAUAUGGGGGAACACCAGUGGCGAAGGCGGCUCUCUGGUCUGUAACUGACGCUGAGGCUCGAAAGCGUGGGGAGCAAACAGG